RNAcentral lists this ribosomal RNA (405 nucleotides) under uncultured Pelotomaculum sp. RNAcentral describes it as "bacterial SSU rRNA". It matches the Rfam family "Bacterial small subunit ribosomal RNA", at positions 980 to 1382 of the family's 1533-position model. The record is from RNAcentral. Lineage: Bacteria; Bacillati; Bacillota; Clostridia; Eubacteriales; Desulfotomaculaceae.
CUUGACAUCCCCUGACCGCGUAUGAAAGUACGUUUUCACCCUCGGGUGACAGGGAGACAGGUGGUGCAUGGUUGUCGUCAGCUCGUGUCGUGAGAUGUUGGGUUAAGUCCCGCAACGAGCGCAACCCCUACGUUUAGUUGCUAACGCGUGAAGGCGAGCACUCUAGACGAACUGCCGUUGGACAAAACGGAGGAAGGUGGGAUGACGUCAAAUCAUCAUGCCCCUUAUGUUCUGGGCUACACACGUGCUACAAUGGCCGGUACAGACGGACGCAAAGCCGCGAGGCGGAGCAAAUCCGAAAAAGCCGGUCUCAGUUCGGAUUGCAGGCUGCAAUUCGCCUGCAUGAAGUCGGAAUCGCUAGUAAUCGCAGGUCAGCAUACUGCGGUGAAUACGUUCCCGGGCCUU